RNAcentral lists this ribosomal RNA (460 nucleotides) under uncultured bacterium. RNAcentral's name for it is "partial 16S ribosomal RNA". It matches the Rfam family "Bacterial small subunit ribosomal RNA", at positions 338 to 795 of the family's 1533-position model. The record is from RNAcentral.
CCUACGGGAGGCUGCAGUGAGGAAUAUUGGUCAAUGGGCGCGAGCCUGAACCAGCCAAGUAGCGUGAAGGAUGACUGCCCUACGGGUUGUAAACUUCUUUUAUAAAGGAAUAAAGUGAGGCACGUGUGCCUUUUUGUAUGUACUUUAUGAAUAAGGAUCGGCUAACUCCGUGCCAGCAGCCGCGGGAAUACGGAGGCUCCGAGCGUUAUCCGGAUUUAGUGGGUUUAAAGGGAGCGUAGGUGGGUUGUUAAGUCAGUUGUGAAAGUUUGCGGCUUAACCGUAAAAUUGCAAUUGAUACUGGCAGUCUUGAGGACAGGUGAGGUAGGCGGAAUGCGUGGUGUAGCGGUGAAAUGCUUAGAUAGCACGAAGAACUCCGAUUGCGAAGGCAGCUUACUAGACUGCAACUGACAUUGAUGCUCGAAAGUGUGGGUAUCAAACAGGAUUAGAUACCCGGGUAGUC